GGCCAGGUAGCUCAGUUGGUAGAGCAGCGGACUGAAAAUCCGCGUGUCGGGGGUUCAAAUCCCUCCCUGGCCACCA
This 76-nucleotide transfer RNA is filed under the name bacterium. RNAcentral describes it as "tRNA-Phe". It matches the Rfam family "tRNA". From Rfam's summary of the family: Transfer RNA (tRNA) molecules are approximately 80 nucleotides in length. Their secondary structure includes four short double-helical elements and three loops (D, anti-codon, and T loops). Further hydrogen bonds mediate the characteristic L-shaped molecular structure. tRNAs have two regions of fundamental functional importance: the anti-codon, which is responsible for specific mRNA codon recognition, and the 3' end, to which the tRNAs corresponding amino acid is attached (by aminoacyl-tRNA synthetases). tRNAs cope with the degeneracy of the genetic code in two manners: having more than one tRNA (with a specific anti-codon) for a particular amino acid; and 'wobble' base-pairing, i.e. permitting non-standard base-pairing at the 3rd anti-codon position. RNAcentral also lists the same sequence under 4 other names. The record is from RNAcentral.